This 432-nucleotide long non-coding RNA is filed under the name Anas platyrhynchos platyrhynchos (common mallard). RNAcentral describes it as "lncRNA (ENSAPLG00000024938.1)". Lineage: Eukaryota; Metazoa; Chordata; Aves; Anseriformes; Anatidae. The record is from RNAcentral.
GAGCACAAGGAAGACAUUAAGUAAACAGCAUGUAAAUGCAUGAGAUUUAGGAAGAACCUUGCUUUUAACAUCCGAGUUCUUUAAAAAAAAAAAAAAAUACAGCAGGAUGUCACAUUGGCCAUCACAAUAUUAAGUAGUGCCUGUCCUGCAUAACAAGAGAACAUAAAGAGGGGGAAAUCCAGAACGACUGAAAGACCACCUACAUUUCAAACCCAUCUUAAGAGCUUGUCAACUGGAGCAAUAAUCAACUGAGAAAAGGAGGCUGCACAGUUCAGAAGCAACCAUUCAAGCUUUGUCCUGCACUAACAUGAGAAGUUGUCUGUUGGAUUUACCCCUGUGGUGGCAGAAGGAAAAAUCCAUUCCAAGCUGCAAGCAUAAUAUUGAAAACAAUGUCCACUAUCUACAAAGAAAGUCUUCCAUUAAUUGAAAGUG